RNAcentral lists this long non-coding RNA (7720 nucleotides) under Homo sapiens (human). Its description in RNAcentral is "HSALNT0108818". The record is from RNAcentral. Lineage: Eukaryota; Metazoa; Chordata; Mammalia; Primates; Hominidae.
CAACUAAAUGGCAUAGAAAACAUUCUAUUUCUACCACUGUACAACAUAUAUUUCUUCAAAAGCAGUUGGAACACUUACAAAUAUAGAAUAUAUGCCAGACACAAAGCACAUCUCAAGUGAUUGAUUCUUCAUCAAAAAAGGUAAAUAGAUGACAUGAAAGCAUAUGAAACAAUGUCAGUGUAACUAACCAUCACGUAAAUGCAAAUUAAGUCACUAUAAGAUACCACUAUGCACCCAUUAUAAUGCCUGCCCCAAAUACUGUCAAUAUUAAAUGCUGACAAAUAUGCAGAGCAACUGGAAAUCUUGUUGGUUGGAAUGUAAAAUGGCACAGCCACUUUGCUAAACAGUUUAGCAGGUUUAUUAUAAAAUAAAAUGUACAUCUACAAUCCAGCAAUUCUAUUCCAAGUUAUCUACCCAAGAGAAAUGAAACUUAUGUUCACACAGAAAACUGCACAUGGCUUAUAGUAGCUAUAUUUAUAAUUUCCAAAAUUUAGAAACAACACAGAUGGCUUUCAACCAAUGAAUGAAAAACAAACUGUAGUACAUUCAUACAAUGGAGUACUACUCAGCAAUAAGAAAGAAUGAACUAUUGAUUCAUGCAACAAUGUGGAUCAAACUUGAAUGCAUUUUUCUAAGUCAAAGAAGGCAGAUCCAAAACUGUACAAUUCCAUUGAUAUGACACUGUGAAAAAGGCAAGACUACAGAGAGCAAAACAGUUGACAGUCAUUACCAGCGAUUGGGGUUGGGGUGAAGUCAUCUGUGGAAUUGCACAGAACUUCUGGUAUGAUGGAAUGGCUUUCUAUGGUACUAUGGCGAUGCAUUUUAAUAUAUAAAAUAUAUAUAUAAAAAUUUAAAGUAAUCAAUCAAGAUAUUGAGAGCAGCAUGAAGCAGUUAAUUGCCUAGGGAGAUAGGGACGGGUCCUCAGAGAAACCUCACCUCCAAGCUGGAGACAGUUUAAAGCCUGAAAGCCAAGCUGCAAGUUAAAUCCUCAGACUGGAUUGUGAACUUGCCUUCCCGUUUGGCACAAUUUCCUCCGAUUGGCCCCCACCCUUCACUUAUUUUACAUAUACCUACCCUUUCCCAAUUGGUUUUUCUACAUUGUUCUGCUCACCUUUGAGUGGUAUCUUCACUUUAAUCUUUUUUGCAUAUUCACAAACCAAUCAGCAUGCACCCCAUUCUGAGUUUAUAAAAGGCCCCAGAACCGGCCACAUGGGGGACUUUCCUGCUUUUGGGUAGGGGAACCAUCCCCCAUGUCCCCUUUUUGCUGAGAACUUUCCUUUUGCUUAAUAAAUUCUACUCCACUAACUCCCCAGUGUCGAGGCACCUAAUUCUUCCUAGUUGUGAGACAAGAACUCGGAUCUAGCUGAUCUAAGGAGCAGAAAAACCACAACAUUUUGGUGGCUUGUACAGGGAUACCUGGAGGGUUAGUAAAUACGGACCCAAACUCUCUUUCACUUUCAUUUUCAAGGCUUCUCAUCCUCAGACUUUUUUCUGAAGGCAGAUGAAGCACCAAACCUCGGGUGAGCCAAUUAAGAACAAAUGGCGCAGUUACAGAAGACAGGAUGCAACCCUGCCACCUAUCUCUCUCUUUCAGUGUCCGUGUGCCUAAUUCUUCCUGGUUGUGUGACAAGACCUCGGACUGAGCUGAGCUAAGGAGCAGAAAAACUGCAACAAUAUGAGGGAAAAGACAGAAGGCAGACUGUGACAAAUGAAUUUAACUGUACUACAGAUGAAUUAGAUAACCACAAUGAAGAAGAUGGAAAGAAAGUUGAUGAUCUCCAUAACUUUAGAAAAUGCUUUGGCUUAAUAAUGCAAGGCUAAGGACAAAAAAUAAGUAUAUAUAGACAUAAACUUUAGUUGAUACAUUUGUUUCUCAGAGGGGAAGGAGCCAGAAAUUCUGAAACUACUUUAUUUGUAUAUUAGGGUUGAGCAAGCAAGUAAAUAUGUUAGAAUAUAAUGAGAACCAGGUUUCUCGCUGUCAAUGAAAGAAGCUACAAACAACAAAAAAAGGAAGGAUAAAAUGAACCGUGGUGUUGUAUAGGAGUUCUAGUUACCAAUGUGGAAUCGUGGUUUCUUUAAAACACAUCUAUCUACAUAAGUAGACAUAGAAACAAAUACAGAUGUGUAUAAGCAUGACUUUUUAUACAUAUGUAUUUUUUAUCUCUAUCUACUGAGAAAGCCAAAAGCAGCAGCACCCCAGUAGUCACAAAUAUCAGUGGCAUCCAGAUUUAGAUCUAUGAAUAUAAUUUUUCAAUUAAAAAGACAGGGCUCCUUGGAGGUCUACUUGACUCCAGGGUGAGGGUAAGAAAAAUUUAGGAGAAGUCUGAAGUAUCUGUGAUGACAGAAAAAAGAAAGCACUUAAAAAAUAAGGGAUAGAAGAGGGGAAACAAAGAAAAGAAUGGAGCAUAUAAAAAACACACAGGAACCAACCUAUCUGGGCACAAUGGUGUGCACCUGUAGUCCCAGGCACUUAGAAGGCUAAAGUGGGAAGAUCCCUUAAGCCCAGGAGUUCAAGCCCAGCUUGGGCAACAAAGCGAGACCCCAUCUCUUAAAAACAAAGAAGCCAAUAUGAAUGGUCAAAGUUGAAAAAUAUUGAAUAAGAAAAUAAAUAAUGAUAUUGUUAGAUUAUAAUGAAAAUAAUCAGAUAAUAUCCAUGAGCUUACACUAAUGCAAAUAAAUUAAUGGAUUAAUAAAAUAAAUAGAGGAAAAUACCAACUCUUCAGAAAAAAAUACAAUUAAUAAAGAUAGAAGGAAUGAUAGAAAUAUGAUAUUAUUACUAGAAUCUCAAAGGGAUAAUUGCUCCAGGUAAGAUCCAGCAGUGAAUGUUCAAAUUAGUGGAUAAAAAAAUAUUUUCCGAAACAGGAUAUUUGCAUAGUCUCUAAGUGCCUCUCUCAAAAUAAUUAGGAACCACAAAGAGAUAAAUAGUAAAUAUACCAUGGAGAGGCUAGCAGAUACAACCUUAGUCAAGUGAUCAAGGUGAGCCUCACCAGCAAUGACUUAUGUGAUAUGCCUCCUUCCCCUAUAUGAUAUUACCAAAGAGUACUUCACUUCUGUACUAUUCUUACCACAUAAUCCAUAACCACUGCCUGAACAUGGGAAAACAUCACACAAAUCAUUUGGUGGACACUCUACAAAAUAAAUAAUCAGUAUUCUUCCAAAUAUCAGCGUCAUGGAUAAGGGAGCCUAAGGAAUUGUCAUAGAGUACCUAAAACCAAAGAGACAUGUCACAUAAAUGCAAUGUGGGAUCCUGAACUGAAUUCUGAAACAAAGGAAAGGUCAUUAGUGAAAGACAGUAUUUUACCAAUGUUAAUUUCUUAGUUGUGAUCAAUAUUCCAUGUUAGAUGUUAAUGUAAGGGGAAACUAGGUAAGAGUAUAUAGGAAUUAUGUGUAGCAUUUUUGCAACUCUUCUGUAAUUCUGAAAUUAUUUCAAUUUUUAAAGGUUUUACCUAUGAAAGGGAUAAAGGAUUUAGGAUUAUGGGUCAGGGACAGCCAUUAGAUUUUUUUAAUGAAUACGUUUUGUGUAAUUAUGAUUUUUGAACUAUAUGAAGCUAUUAAUAAUUUAGAACUAAAUUUAAUGUUUUAAAAUAAAUACAAAUAAAAGGAGGUUUUUAAAAAAAUUUAUACUUUAGUUUCUAAAUUGUAUACAGGUUUUUCACAUGGAAUAUGAUAAAAUAAUAUGCACUAUUAGAAAGAAAAUAUGUAAAAAGUAUAACAAAAUUAAAAGAUUUAUGUAGAGUUGGUGGCAGAAAGUAUUCAAGCUUUGAGACCUCAUAACAUCAAAAUGAAGUUUCCAUUGCUAUUGUUUGUGAAGUACAAAAGUACAUUACCAGCUAUGUCAGAAAUAAUUUAGAGAUAAUAGGAAUACCCUGCCUUAAUUAAACUCUUAGUAAAUGUUCAAUGAAUGAGUCACUGUCAUGUUUCUCUGUCUCUUCUACAGACCUCAGUGGACUUGUUCCAAGGAAAAGGAAAGAGGGAUGGAGCAUGGUUUUAUGGCAGCCUUUCCCCAGAAUGAAAUAUACUUUGAGCACAUGAGCUCAUGAGCAGGAGAAAACUGAUCGGAAGGACAUGAUGGCCAUACAAACCUUGUCCUGUAUAUUUUCUAAAAUUAUAUAUCCAUGUUCAGCUGAAAAUUCAAUUUCGAAUACUGGGUUUGGUGCUGCAGUUUUUCAGUUAUUUAAUUGUAUGGAAUAUUUAAAUAUUCCUUAAAUUUGCUGGUGUCAUUGCAUACUAAUUGCACUCUAUUGUGUAAAUUCUAAUUUUAAAAUUUGACUAGAUUUUUUAGUGAGGCUUUGCUAUUGUCAAAGAUGCUAAAGUGAUUAUAUGCCUGGUGUCUCAUCUGUGAUGACAGCUGCUCUAUAGCCCUGCCAUCUAGUAGGCAAUGAUACCUUUAGGUUAUAUUAUGCUUACUCUGAUAAUCUUAAUUUACAUGAAUUAAAAAUCAAUUUGCCUCCAAACUCUAAAACAAUGAACUAGGACACAUUUUUCCCAUUGUAUGCAGUUACUCCAUGUGCUUAGGGAAAUGUAGUACAGUCAGCACUUCAUAUCUAUGGGUUCCUCAUCCAUGGAUACAACCAAUCAUGGAUUGAAAAUAUUUGAAAACAAAAAAAAUUAAAAAUAAGAAUAUAACAAUAAACAAUACAAAUUAAAAACAAUACAGUAUGACAAUUAUUUACAUAGCAUAUAAAUUCUUACAUAUAAUUAGGAAUUAUAAGAAACAUAGAGAUGAUUUAAAGUAUACUGAAGGAUAUGCAUAGGUUAUAUGUAAAUACUAUGCCAUUUUAUAUAAGGGACUUGAGUUUCCACAAAUUUUGAAUGCUGAGGGGUGACUAUAUUCUCAAGAAAGGCUAAAUUAUAUAUUCUUUAGUGCCAGGGUACUUUAUAGUUACGGCAUAUAGUGAUUUGCUCCACCUAUUUGCCAAUUCCCAAAUCUAACUCUGCUCUCCCCAUUAAGUUCGAGAAUAGAGCUCUAUCAGCUCUUUAUAAAACUUGUCCAGCCUUCCUUCCACAUAGUUAUAAAGAAUAAAGGAUGAUUUCUGACACAAAGGCUAGGGAAAUAUCUAAGUGCUUCUUCUUGAUCAGUAUUUCUUACACAGUCAAGGAUAUUUGGUUGGAUUAUUCCCUCUGAUAUGUCCUUUUUCUCAAUCUGAAUGAAAAUUCCAGUUUAAAGUGAUUUCUCUUGUUGGAAAACUGUACUCCUCUGCCAAAUUUUUGUCCUAUCCUCAAACUCCUACUUUGUGUUAAAGUACAUUUUCAUCAUGUCUUGGUCUCUUUAUGUCCUAUGAAGAGGCUUUUUUGCUCGUGAAUGUUUUUGCAUGGUGGUGUUAUUGUUACUGUUAUCGUGUUUUCCUUUGUGUGUGUUAAAUUCUUUGGUUCAAUGAAUAAGGAUUUACAGAUUAAGAAUUCCUGAGUAUGUUGAAUCCCAUAUGCAAACUUGGUUGCCUUUUUGAAAUGGCAUUUUAUUAAGCUAAUAGUAAGAUCAAGCUAUAACUGUAGGAUUUGCAACAGAAUCCCUACAGAGGCAUAUUUUUUUUUUUUUGAGACAGAGUCUCACUCUGUUGCCCAGACUGGAGUGUUGCGGUGCAAUCUCGGCUCACUGCAGCCUCCGCCUCCCAGGUUCAAGUAAUUCUCCUGCCUCAGCCUCCUGAGUAACUGGGACUACAGGCAUGAGCUACCAUGCCGGGCUAAUUUUUUUUAUUUUUAGUAGAGAUGGGGUUUCACCAUGUUGGCCAGGAUGGUCUCUAUCUCCUGACCUCAUGAUCUGCCCGCCUCAGCCUCCCAAAGUGCUGGGAUUACAGGCGUGAGCCACCACAUUCCAUUUUAUAUAUUUGGGAUGGAACAAUGUGUUACUACUAUUUGAUCUAGAGUCAGUGUUUAAUGGAGUUCCAGGAGUUCUGUUCCUACAGAGCCAUCCAAGGGCUGAAGGAUCACUGUCUUAUAUCACAUCCCUUCCCUACACAGCUGUAACCCUACCACAGCACACCUUCUCUGAUGCUCUGCUCCUGUAUCCCUAUUAGUUAAUUUUCAAACACUCAUGGAGGUUAGAUAUUACUAUUUUCCCUGUUAAACAUCUCAGGUUCACUUCAGAGGCAGGAAACAGCCCCAAUGAAUCAGAGCAGGAAAUCUUUUUGGAGCAAGUCUUGCAGACUCACUGCUGCAAUGUGGAGAGAUCUCAGGAGGCUCUAGAUGAGGUGUGAGUGGCUGUGGUAGGAAAGAGGAUCCCACUGAGUGGUUUUAGGUGAGAACUACCAAUGAAUGAGGAAGUAUUAAUAUAUCAUAUUUCAUUCAAUCUCAAAAGGCAUCAAUCGUAGAAUGAAUCAUUAUUUUGCUUACUCCUGGUAAAAUGUCACCAACUACAUUGUCACAGUUUUUCUCAUCACUGAGAAUUGUUAGGUUAUUCCAUUGAAAGAACUGCUUUCAGACAUUGAAAUAUAUAUUUCUAUCAUGUAUCAUUUUUGUGCAUAUACAGAAUAAGAAAAUUAAUUGGUUAAGGUAUUUCUAAAAUUUCUUUACAUUAAGAAUCUCAGUCUUCUGAAUCACUUUUCAACAUAGUCAUUAAUUUCUGUAUUUUUCCAUACAACAUUAUUAUCUAUCAUCAAGACAUAGCUAAUAUAAUGUUUUCUAAAAGAGUGCUUCACUAUUAACUCUGGUAUUUUUUUCCCAAGGCAAUAUUCUGCCAGCUUUUUCUCAAGAUGCAUAGAAACGUGAAGCAAGUGACAGCCACAUCACCAAUUUUAUCCAUAAUUACAAAAUGCAGCCCUAUUUCAGUGAUGUUCAAAGGUAACAAAGAAAAGUUUAUCUUAGACCUGAUAAAAUAUGAUAAAUUCAAUAUGCUUAACAGCUUGUAUGACAGGUCUGCUGAUGAUCAGCUUUGCCUGCAUAUUCAUUAUAGCUUGUGUUUACAUAGUUCAUUUUGUGUGAGGAUAUCAGAAUAUUUUUAAAAUAUUAAUAAUGCAUAGUCUAUUCAUAAAUAUUUAAAACCUAUAAGUGAUAUUAUGUUCAUCUCAGAAAUUUGGCAAAGAUUAAAAUUUCAUUGUUUAUCUACUAAGAGCCAGAAUGAAUAUUACUAAUCAAUAGAAUUUAAGAUUAAUUUGUGAAUAAAGUUUGUGAGUCUAAUUCUGGUAAUCUGACUGGAUAUGGUAAAUGAAAAAAAAUCAAAAUUAUAGCCAAAAGUUUAAAAACUAUAACAAAGGAAAAUAAAGCUGUUGUUGUAAAAACUAAUACAAUAGCACAAAGUUGGUUUUUUUAAAGAGAAAAAAUUUGAGAAAUGUUAGAUACAUUUAAAAAGUCGUGUAAGGGCAUGAAACUAAGGGGUCAAUGGAAGGAACUGUUUCAUGUGGGACAGCAUUCUAAAGCAAUCCAAAUGAUAAAACAAUUCAAGGAAGUAUUAAAAUAUCAAUAUGUAAGUACAUUCCAGAAAUAAGAAAAAGCAAUAAUGAUACAGAAUUUUGAAUCAGUAAUAGAAAGUACAAUAUUAAGAAUAUCAUGGAAUGUGGGGAAAGAGAAGCAAGUGAUUAAGUUGAAAGAGAUAAACAUGACAGAUACAUGGAGAAAGAAACAAGAAGACACAGAAUCACCAAUGAUAUUAAUAAAGAUGCUAUACUGCAUUGAGGAAAAUAUGUUUACUUACUGAAAAUGUUUACAAAUUCAAGACCAAUUAAUAAGAAAAGAUAUAUAUCAUAUAUAUCAUAUAUGUAUCAUAUAUAUCAAUCAUAUAUACCAU